GGGUAUGUAGCUCAGUGGUAGAGUGCAUGCUUUGCAUGUAUGAGGUCCUGGGUUCAAUUCUCUACAUCUCUA
This 72-nucleotide transfer RNA is filed under the name Alligator mississippiensis (American alligator). It matches the Rfam family "tRNA". From Rfam's summary of the family: Transfer RNA (tRNA) molecules are approximately 80 nucleotides in length. Lineage: Eukaryota; Metazoa; Chordata; Crocodylia; Alligatoridae. The record is from Rfam by way of RNAcentral.